AAAACAUAGCCCUUGAAAUAAUCAAAGGUGUAACCUGCCCAAUGGCUAUAUAAUUAAGAAAAUUAAAAAUUUUCUAAAAUAGCUUAAAGGACGCAGUAUCUUGACUGUGGUAAUGUAGCAUAAUCACUCGCCACUUAAUUAGUGGAUAGUAUGAAUGGUUGAACGAAUAUUACACUGUCUUUUAAAGAAAAUUCAUGAAAUUAAAAUAAUAGUAAAGAUGCUAUUUAAGACUGUAAGACGAAAAGACCCUAUAGAGCUUGACUAUAAUCUAUAUUUAAAAAUAAUUAAAAAAAAACUUUAAAACAAUAUAUAGAUUGGUAGUUUAGUUGGGGCGACUAUCUUUUAAAAAUAACAAAGAUAAGCAAUGUUAAUAGAAAACUUAUUGUAUAAUAUAUACAUUUAACAAUUAUAAAAAUAGGCUAUAAUGACCCAUUAGUAUUAUAUAACAAAACUAAUGAUUAAUAAAUAAAAGCUACCUUAGGGAUAACAGGAUAAUUUUAUCUUAGAGAUCUAAUCGAAGAUAAAGUUUGUCACCUCUAUGUUGAAUUAAGAUAUCCAGAUAGUGCAGAAGCUAUCAAAGGUAGGUCUGUUCGACCUAUAAAAUCUUACAUGAUUU
Molecule: ribosomal RNA, 616 nt
Filed under: Nemopsis bachei
Lineage: Eukaryota; Metazoa; Cnidaria; Hydrozoa; Anthoathecata; Bougainvilliidae
Description: partial large subunit ribosomal RNA
Rfam family: Bacterial large subunit ribosomal RNA
Source: RNAcentral